UACAGAGGGUGCAAGCGUUAAUCGGAUUUACUGGGCGUAAAGCGUGUGUAGGUGGUUGUUCAAGUCGGUUGUGAAAUCCCUGGGCUCAACCUGGGAAUUGCUUCCGAGACUGAGCGACUAGAGUACGGUAGAGGGCGGUGGAAUUUCCGGUGUAGCGGUGAAAUGCGUAGAUAUCGGAAGGAACACCAAUGGCGAAGGCAGCCGCCUGGGCCUGUACUGACACUGAGACACGAAAGCGUGGGGACCAAACAGG
RNAcentral lists this ribosomal RNA (253 nucleotides) under uncultured bacterium. RNAcentral describes it as "partial 16S ribosomal RNA". It matches the Rfam family "Bacterial small subunit ribosomal RNA", at positions 524 to 776 of the family's 1533-position model. The record is from RNAcentral.